UAAGGUUGUAGGCUGGAAUUUUAGGUAAAUCCGGAAUUCUAAGGCCGAGAACCGAUGACGAUUAUUUCUAUGAAAUAAGAAGUGGUUGAUGCCAUGCUUCCAGGAAAAACUUCUAAGCUUCAGGUAGCAAGGAAUCGUACCGUAAACCGACACAGGUGGGUGGGUAGAGAAUACCAAGGCGCUUGAGAGAACUCUGGUGAAGGAACUAGGCAAAAUGGUACCGUAACUUCGGGAGAAGGUACGCCCUCAUUACGUGAAUGGACUUGCUCCAGGAGCGGAAGAGGGUCGAAGAUACCAGAUGGCUGCGACUGUUUACUAAAAACACAGCACUCUGCUAACACGAAAGUGGACGUAUAGGGUGUGACGCCUGCCCGGUGCCGGAAGGUUAAUUGAUCGGGUUAGCCCUUUUGGGCGAAGCUCGUGAUCGAAGCCCCGGUGAACGGCGGCCGUAACUAUAACGGUCCUAAGGUAGCGAAAUUCCUUGUCGGGUAAGUUCCGACCUGCACGAAUGGCGUAACGAUGGCCAUACUGUCUCCACCAGAGACUCAGUGAAAUUGAAUUUGCGGUGAAGAUGCCGUAUACGCGCGGCUAGACGGAAAGACCCCGUGCACCUUUACUAUAGCUUCACACUGGACUUUGAAUUUAUUUGUGUAGGAUAGGUGGGAGACUUUGAAGCGUAGGCGCCAGCUUACGUGGAGUCAUCCUUGAAAUACCACCCUUGUACAUUUGGAGUUCUAACUUUAAUCCGUUAUCCGGAUUGAGGACAGUGUGUGGUGGGUAGUUUGACUGGGGCGGUCUCCUCCUAAAGAGUAACGGAGGAGUGCGAAGGUAACCUCAGCACGGUCGGACAUCGUGCAUUGAGUGCAAUGGCAUAAGGUUGCUUAACUGCGAGACUGACAAGUCGAGCAGGUACGAAAGUAGGUCAUAGUGAUCCGGCGAUUCUGUAUGGAAGGGUCGUCGCUCAACGGAUAAAAGGUACGCCGGGGAUAACAGGCUUAUACCCCCCAAGAGUUCACAUCGACGGGGGUGUUUGGCACCUCGAUGUCGGCUCAUCACAUCCUGGGGCUGGAGCAGGUCCCAAGGGUAUGGCUGUUCGCCAUUUAAAGUGGUACGCGAGCUGGGUUUAGAACGUCGUGAGACAGUUCGGUCCCUAUCUGCCGUGCGCGUUGGAAAUUUGAGAAGAGUUGCUCCUAGUACGAGAGGACCGGAGUGAACGAACCUCUGGUGUUCGGGUUGUCACGCCAGUGGCAUUGCCCGGUAGCUAUGUUCGGAAAGGAUAACCGCUGAAAGCAUCUAAGCGGGAAGCCUCCUUCAAGACUAGAUUUCCCUGAACCUUCGGGUUCUUUAAGAGCCGUUCAAGACUAGGACGUUGAUAGGCAGGGUGUGUAAGCGCUGUAAGGCGUUGAGCUAACCUGUACUAAUUGCUCGAUUGGCUUGACCUU
Molecule: ribosomal RNA, 1442 nt
Filed under: marine metagenome
Description: bacterial LSU rRNA
Rfam family: Bacterial large subunit ribosomal RNA
Source: RNAcentral